AGGAGAUUAAAAGUUGUCACCACACCAAAACAGGCUAUUGCCUAUUCUUCAGCAGCAAUAAAAAACUCCUAAACAACUUUUAUGACCUGAGAGACUUUAUUUACAUAAGACAAUCUUUGUUCACCAUGCAGUUCCUCUCCUUUUCCUCUCAUAACUGUCAUCACCUCCCCUUCAAGCCCCUAUUCAUUUUAUGCUAUGAAACCUUCAACCAUUUGUACUAAUAGUUAUGUUCUCUUGUCACAGUCUGCAUUCCUGUGAUUCCCUGACUUCUUAAAUGAUUAAAAUUGUUUACAUAAAAUUUUGACCCUUUGUGCAGUAAAGUUCUAUAUGUUUUCACAAAUACACAAUGUCAUGUAUACACCAUCACAGUAUCAUACAGAAUUGUUUCAUUGCCCUAAAAAACUCCUGUGCUUCACCUAUUCAUUCCUCCCUCUCCUCAAACUCUGGCAACCACUGACAUUUUUAUUCUCUAUUGUUUUGUCUUUUCCAGAGUGUCAUAUAGUUGGACUCAUAUAGUAUGCAGCCUGUUCAGAAUGACUUCUCUCACUUAACAGUAUGCAUUUAAGGUUCAUACAGGACUUUCUGUGGCUCGAUAGCUCAUUUCUUUAUUGUUGAAUAGUAUUCCAUCAUAUGGAUGUACCAGUUUGUUUAUCCAUUCACUUAUUGAAGAAAUGUGUGUUGCUUCAAGUUUUAACCAAUUAUAACCUUGUUAUGAACACGUGUGUGCUGUUUUUAUGUGGACAAGUUUUCAAAUCAGUAAAUACCUAGAAGUGAAACUGUUCCAACUGUCCCAUAGAAAUGACAUUUAAAAGUUUUGGAACACACAUGGAAAUUGACCCUUCAGGUCUUAAAACUUGAAAUUUACAUUUGUCUCAUCUGAGUUCCUCCCUCAGGGAACUGAUCCUCAGGCAAGGGACUUAAACUCACCAGAUCACCACAUCGAAAUAAGAUGCCAGACCCCCUCAUUCAUCAUAAUUGCUUCUUUACCCCCCUUAAUUCCUUCCCUCACUAUGUAAGCCUCCCCAGUUGUAGUUGGUCAGGGAUUUGAGACUUUAUCUCCCAUUCUCCUUGGCUGCAGCACCCAGUGAAAUACUUCUUUCAUGGCAACAUUCAUUGUCUCAGUGAUUGACAUUCUGUGUGGUGAGCAGCAGGACUGAACCCCCUGUCAUUUUGGUAACAGGAGCAUGAUUGCUGGAUCAAUGCUAAGGCUAUGCCUAGCUCUUUUAAGAGCCCACCAAACUGUCUUCUAAAGAGGCUGUACCAUGUCACAUUUCAAUGAACAAUGAAGAGUUCCUGUUGCUCCACAUCCUUGCCAUCUUUUGGCAUUUUUAGUGUUUUCGCUUUCUACCAUCCUAGUGGGUGCUAAGGGAUAACUUAUAGUUUUAAAUUGCAAUUCCCUGAUGACAAAUGAUGUUGAGCACAUUUUCACAUUCAUGUUUAUUUUUGAUGUCUAUUCAGACCUUUUGCCCAUGUUUAAAUUGGGUCAUUUGUCUUAUUAUUUUUACGGCUUUUUUUGUGUUUUUUUGAGAGGCAGUCUCACUCUGUCACCUGGACUGGAGUGCAGUGGUGUAAUCUCAGCUCGCUGUAACCUCCACCCCAGGUUCAAAUGAUUCUCCUGCCUCAGCCUCAGGAGUAGCUGGGAUUACAGGUGUGUGCCACUAUGCCCAGCUUAUUUUUGUAGUUUUAGUAUGGACAGGGUUUUGCCAUAUUGGCCAGGCUGGUCUUGAACUCCUGACCUCAGGUGAUCUGUCUGCUUUGGCCUCCCAAAGUGCUGGGAUUACAGGCAUGAGCCACUGAACCCGGCCCUGAGUUUUAAGUUCUUACCUGCCUAAUUGUCCUGGCUAGAACCUCCAGUACAAUGCUGAAUAGAAGUGGUGAGCUUGGAGAUCAUUUUCUUGUUCCAUAUCUUAGGAUAAGAGCUUUCAGUCUUUCAUCAUUAUGUAUGAUGUUAGCUGUGGGUCUUCAUAGAUAUCCUUUCUCAGGUUGAAGAAGUUCCUGUUUACUUCUAGUCUGUUCACUGCUUUUAUCAUGAAAGGCUACUGGAGGUUGUCAAAUGCUUUGUGUCUAUGGAAAUGAUUAUGUAUUUAUCUUUUGUGAAUUAUCCCAUUAAUAUACUGGAUUUACUGAUUUUCGUAUGUUAAACCAAUCUUGCUUUCCUGGGAUAAAUCCCAAUGGAUCACAGUGUAUAAUUCUUUUGAUAUCUUGCUGGAUUUCAUUUGCUAGUACUUUUUUUUUUUGCCUCUGUAUUCAAAAGGGAUAUUGGUAUUAGUUUUCUUUCCUAGUAAUGUCUUUGGUUAUGGUAUCCAUGUCUUCUUUAACUCAUGUGUCUGGUUAUGGUAUCCAUGUCUUCUUUAACUCGUGUGUGUGUGUAUGUAUGUAACCUUAGGCACUCUAAAAUGCAGGGCUCAGGGCAGGAACCUCUCUUGCUCAGCUCUAACCCUUCUGGUCACCUCUUAGUGACUUUUUCCCCCUUUAAGUCUGCCAUUUGAAGGACAUUAUAUCCUAAUUACACCUGAAUAGAAGGGAGAACUUUGGGUCACAUCCUACAGACAGUUCUCAAGACUAAUAAUUUACAUUUAUUGAAUACUUUCUAUAUACUCAGGCAUUGCUCUAACCCCUUUGCAUGUGUUAACUCAAUCUUCCCAACUAAGGAAACUUUGACUUGGAAAGGUUCAGUGAUUUGUUCAAUGGUAACACACUGGAGAGUGACUACAUUUUAAUUAGGGCAAAAUUUUCCAUUUGGCCAAGAACAAAAUCUAACAGCCACUGCUAUUUUGUGAAUAGUAAUUUGAAAAUUAAAGGAAAAUUUUUUUAAAGAAAAGCUUUGUUCUUCAAGUGUGAUCGUUAUUAUUCUUGGGCCAAAAUGCUUUUCAAGGUACAUGUUUUAAUCUUUUUUUAAAAAAUUAUU
Molecule: long non-coding RNA, 2908 nt
Filed under: Homo sapiens (human)
Lineage: Eukaryota; Metazoa; Chordata; Mammalia; Primates; Hominidae
Description: HSALNT0050321
Source: RNAcentral